RNAcentral lists this long non-coding RNA (1382 nucleotides) under Homo sapiens (human). RNAcentral's name for it is "non-protein coding lnc-FAM84B-84:11". The record is from RNAcentral. Lineage: Eukaryota; Metazoa; Chordata; Mammalia; Primates; Hominidae.
CUAUGAUUCCUUCAGGGCAAGCACUGCUUUAAUAAUUCAUCUUUCUGUCUUCAAAAGUCAGCCCAGUGACUGUCCCUUAUUCCACAGAUGUGGAACCAAUUCAGGAUUGUCCUUGUGAUUCUUUUUCCUAAGUGGAAUACUGAGCCUCCAGCUUGUGUGUCAUAUGUGUGGACUUUUCAGCAUAUUCUUCUCUGGCCCAGAAGUCUGGAUUCUUCUUGUCUGUUGCAAUAAUAUAAAGUUAUUCAGAGCUGUACAUGAAGAGAAGUCCCACAGGGACCCUGGGAUCAGAAGAACUCUGGGAAAUGCCUGGCCCAGCCAGUGCUGUUCUAAAGAUCCUCAUCCUCAUGGAGAUAACCAUUUUUAAGGAAGAAAAGAGGAUCUGGACCCUACCCAUCUCAGUCUCCAUCAGAUCUUAUGGAUGCUCCAGGAAUUGGCCAUGAUUCUCCUCUUUUCUACCAUCUUGUAUGUUGGGCUUUGUAGAGGAUAGAUGUUUUCUAGAAGAAUGGCAGAUAAGGCAAGGUCUGCAGCUUGCCAUUGAUAGUGUCUUUAUCAACAGAUCUGUGAGGAAUUGUGCAGCUGAGAGGGGAGAAGAGAAAUCAGAGAGUGGAUGGACUGCCACAGUUCAACAUAUACUGGUGCUUUCAAUAUAGAAUCCACAAGGCAACCUGCAUGCUGGGCUCUGUGCUAGGCACUAGGGGUAUAUCUAUGAGAUGCCACCCCAGCUCCCACAGUCUUACAAUCUAAUGGGGAAGAGAGAUAUGUCAAUAGACAAACGCAGCAGAUGGCAAGUGCUGGGAUAUGAAACAGUAAGCAGAAGCCACAGUGUUCUCUGGGACUUCUGAGCUGAGUCCCAAAGUAAUUAGAUUAAUCCGUCAUGGGAGGUGGAGUGGGUAGGGGGAGCUCCUGGAAGCAUGAUCAAAAGUGGAGAGCUAAGGUGAGGGAGAAGAAAGAAAUGAGAUUCAGCAAAGAGGAGGAGAGCAAUGAAGGGCCAUGUAUGACCAGGCGAAGGCAAAUUGUUCGGACCAAACAUGACAGUAGGGUGGGUUUUUGAGGGGUAUCCACUGCACUUACAGAGGCAAGAUUCUCUAUGGUGACCUUUCAGUGAGGGUGGGCAAAUACACUACUUUUUGAGUCAGCCAUUUUUCACUACUGAGCACCUCUGGCCUUAGCAAGUUCUGAGCAUGAAUACUUUCUUCUGUUUCUAAGCCAUUCAACAAAUAUCAAAGUGCUUUCCCAUGUAUUGGUCAUCUUAGGCAAACUGGGUGGACAUGUAGAGCAAGACGUAAUGAGGUAAGCACUCACUAGAGCUAGGUCAUCUUAGAAAAGUCACUUAGCUUCACUGAGCCUCAGUCUUCCUAUCUGUGAAAUGGGGAUAAUGACCC